RNAcentral lists this ribosomal RNA (1328 nucleotides) under Hebeloma angustilamellatum. RNAcentral's name for it is "partial 25S ribosomal RNA". It matches the Rfam family "Eukaryotic large subunit ribosomal RNA", at positions 1 to 1317 of the family's 3401-position model. The record is from RNAcentral. Lineage: Eukaryota; Fungi; Basidiomycota; Agaricomycetes; Agaricales; Hymenogastraceae.
UUGACCUCAAAUCAGGUAGGACUACCCGCUGAACUUAAGCAUAUCAAUAAGCGGAGGAAAAGAAACUAACAAGGAUUCCCCUAGUAACUGCGAGUGAAGCGGGAAAAGCUCAAAUUUAAAAUCUGGCGGUCUCCGGCCGUCCGAGUUGUAAUCUAGAGAAGUGUURUCCGCGCUGGACCGUGUACAAGUCUCCUGGAAUGGAGCGUCGUAGAGGGUGAGAAUCCCGUCUUUGACACGGACUACCAGGGCUUUGUGAUACGCUCUCAAAGAGUCGAGUUGUUUGGGAAUGCAGCUCAAAAUGGGUGGUAAAUUCCAUCUAAAGCUAAAUAUUGGYGAGAGACCGAUAGYGAACAAGUACNGUGAGGGAAAGAUGAAAAGAACUUUGGAAAGAGAGUUAAACAGUACGUGAAAUUGCUGAAAGGGAAACGCUUGAAGUCAGUCGCGUUGGCCGGGGAUCAACCUUGCUUUUGNUGGGNGUACUUUCCGGUUGACGGGUCAGCAUCAAUUUUGACCAUUGGAUAAAGUCUAGAGGAAUGUAGCAUCUUCGGAUGUGUUAUAGCCUUUGGUCGCAUACAGUGGUUGGGAUUGAGGAACUCAGCACGCCGCAAGGCCGGGUACUUGUACCACGUUCGUGCUUAGGAUGNUGGCAUAAUGGCUUUAAUCGACCCGUCUUGAAACACGGACCAAGGAGUCUAACAUGCNUGUGAGUGUUUGGGUGGCAAACUCGGACGCGUAAUGAAAGUGAAAGUUGAGAUCCCUGUCGUGGGGAGCAUCGACGCCCGGACCAGACCUUUUGUGACGGAUCCGCGGUAGAGCAUGUAUGUUGGGACCCGAAAGAUGGUGAACUAUGCCUGAAUAGGGUGAAGCCAGAGGAAACUCUGGUGGAGGCUCGUAGCGAUUCUGACGUGCAAAUCGAUCGUCAAAUUUGGGUAUAGGGGCGAAAGACUAAUCGAACCAUCUAGUAGCUGGUUCCUGCCRAAGUUUCCCUCANGAUAGCAGAAACUCAUUUCAAAUUUAUGUGGUAAAGCGAAUGAUUAGAGGCCUUGGGGUUGAAACAACCUUAACCUAUUCUCAAACUUUAAAUAUGUAAGAACGAGCCGUCUCUUGAUUGGACCGCUCGGCGAUUGANAGUUUCUAGUGGGCCAUUUUUGGUAAGCAUAACUGGCGAUGCGGGAUGAACCGAACGCGAGGUUAAAGUGCCGGAAUUCACGCUCAUCAUACACCACAAAAGGUGUUAGUUCAUCUAAACAGCANGACGGUGGCCAUGGAAGUCNGAAUCCGCUAAAGAGUGUGUAACAACUCACCUGCCGAAUGAACUAACCCUGAAA